Canis lupus familiaris (dog) is the source of this 1036-nucleotide long non-coding RNA. RefSeq lists it as uncharacterized. The record is from RefSeq and is a predicted model, not a curated record. The transcript has 5 exons. NCBI's taxonomy places the organism in Eukaryota, Metazoa, Chordata, Mammalia, Carnivora, Canidae.
GGUGCAGAGAGUGGCAGGGCUCCCCCUUCUCUUGCUCCGAACGGAAAAGUUUUAUUUGGCCCCAAGCUUCCUAUAAAUUUUCGCCUCUAGGAAGACUUCAGCAGAAGAAAAAUGUCUGCAAAACCAGUGCCCUGUGGAAUUAGAAACAAAUAUGAGAAGCUGAGUGAGCUUGGGCAAGCACGUGAAAUCACAUCUUAUCUUUCUGAAUCCAACCUGAGAAUCUGAAGCCAUUUCUGUGGUGGCAGAGCUCCAUCCAUGAUGCAACAGGAAUGUUCUCAUACAAAUGAAAAGAAUGAAAGAAUGUAGAAGGAAGCUGAAUGUUACCUUCUGUUCCGCCUCCUAAUCCCUUGCUGGCAGAAAUUUGAGGUCUAAAUUGGCGUGAUAUUUUAACCAGAGGGAGAAAUUCAACUGACAAGACUUAUGCAAAAGACAAGUAACAAAAGUGUUUAGGUGGAGAAGUAUAACCUGAAGAGAAGAUUCUUACUCCUUUUGUUAAAAAAAAAGGACACAACUGACUACAUGCCUCCAGAGAAAACUCCUGAUUCUCCUAAAAGAAAAUAAUUUUUCUAUAGAGGUAAAUGUGGAGAGUAUUCCAUCACCAUGAUAAAAAGUCCAGAGAGGAAAAAAAUGUCUAGGACACUAGGGUAGUUGAAUCCCAUGGAUGCAAGAGCAGGUGUUGAAGGAGAUUGUUACCAUCACUGGCCACAGCCCUCCAUUGCUCACAAUCAAUGCCAUUAGCAGAAACCUGCAUAGAUUUCUGUGAUGAGUCUGCAAUGCGGUCUACCAGGUACUGUGAGCUGAGUCCUUUUUGGCUCUGUGCUGAGAGAUGGGGUUCAAGCUAUUGGUGCAGUGCUUAUCUAGAACAUUCCUCAUCUUUAUUAACUGUGUCUAGUGGUUAAACAGUUCUUAGCAUAAAUGGGAAUGGACUUUGAAAUGAGCAAGUGGAACUGUUUCUUUUCCUUAGAAUAUUCACAAUAAUUUAAGAAUAGCAAACAAAGUUGGCUUUCCUUGAAUAGCACCUCUUUUUCUUUGAAAA